GUCCACGCCGUAAACGAUGGAUGCCAGCCGUUGGCAAGCAUGCUUGUCAGUGGCGCAGCUAACGCAUUAAGCAUCCCGCCUGGGGAGUACGGCCGCAAGGUUGAAACUCAAAGGAAUUGACGGGGGCCCCGCACAAGCGGUGGAGCAUGUGGUUUAAUUCGACGCAACGCGCAGAACCUUACCAGGGUUUGACAUCCUGUGCUCACCUCAGAAAUGGGGUUUCCCCGCAAGGGGCGCAGAGACAGGUGCUGCAUGGCUGUCGU
RNAcentral lists this ribosomal RNA (263 nucleotides) under uncultured bacterium. Its description in RNAcentral is "partial 16S ribosomal RNA". It matches the Rfam family "Bacterial small subunit ribosomal RNA", at positions 793 to 1055 of the family's 1533-position model. The record is from RNAcentral.